GACAGAGGUGCCAAGCGUUAGGCGGAAUCACUGGGCUUAAAGCGUGUGUAGGCGGAUUGGUAAGUACUUUGUGAAAUCCCACGGCUUAACCGUGGAACUGCUUGGUAUACUGCCAGUCUUGAGCCAGCUAGGGGCUACCGGAACAAAUGGUGGAGCGGUGAAAUGCGUAGAUAUCAUUUGGAACGCCAAUGGUGAAAACAGGUAGCUGGGGCUGUGCUGACGCUGAGACACGAAAGCCAGGGGAGCAAACGGG
RNAcentral lists this ribosomal RNA (253 nucleotides) under uncultured bacterium. RNAcentral describes it as "partial 16S ribosomal RNA". It matches the Rfam family "Bacterial small subunit ribosomal RNA", at positions 524 to 776 of the family's 1533-position model. The record is from RNAcentral.